GGGGAACAGUGACACUAUAUGGGUAGAUGAGGGAGCAGGGGCACUAUAGGGGUAGUUGGGGGAGCAGGGGCACUAUAGGGGUAGUUGGGGAGCAGAGGCACUAUAGGGGUAAAUGGGGGAGCAGAGGCACUAUAGGGGUAGUUGGGGGAGCAGAGGCACAAUAGGGAUAGAUGGGAGGAGCGUGGACUCACCAGGCAGCAGAUUCGGGCCUCGGCUAGUCCCGCCCCCACCGGCCGCUUAGCUCUGCCCCUUAAGUCUCUCUCU
Molecule: non-coding RNA, 264 nt
Organism: Pelobates cultripes (western spadefoot toad)
Lineage: Eukaryota; Metazoa; Chordata; Amphibia; Anura; Pelobatidae
Source: the annotation of a GenBank genome assembly